RNA transcript from Sapajus apella (tufted capuchin), 1237 nucleotides. RefSeq lists it as uncharacterized. NCBI's taxonomy places the organism in Eukaryota, Metazoa, Chordata, Mammalia, Primates, Cebidae. The transcript has 2 exons. The record is from RefSeq and is a predicted model, not a curated record.
AUGCCCAUGCCCCAGAGCUGCCUGCCGGGCAGGGCAGCACUACUGCAGGAGAGGAUCUUGGCCUCGGGAUCAGGCAGGAAGGUCCCGGCUAGCCUGUGCUGGGUGCACUGGGCAGGGAGCCCUGGGCCCCUAGCCCCAUGGGGGCCUCUCAGGAGAGAAACUCCCUUGCACCCUUCCGCAGAGUGCUCUCCGGUAUCUUCUAGGCGGCAUGCCAGCCCCCAAACACAGGUGGCUUUUGGGCCCAGGUGGGUCAGCCGGCUGCCCCUGCCACAUACCCUCUCAGGCCAUUGGGACCCCUGCCCUUCAGAUACCCUAGGGUCUCUUUGGGCAGGAGGGGUGGUCCAGGCAGGACCCAGUCAGGAGUCCUGGAGCAGGGCCAGGGAGGUGCCCACCCCGCCCUGCCCAGCCACCCUCUCUGCUGUUUCUUCUAUUUGUUCUUUUUUUCACCCACAGCCCUGUGUUCCUGUCAUCCCUCCUUUCAGCAAAAGUCCUGUUCCCUCUGUCCCCACCCACUCCUGUUCCCCAAGAAAAUAAGCUAUCAUUGUUGUAUUUGCAAUCUAUGGAUUAGAGGUUUAAGUAUUUAUUGUUAUUGGUUAAUUAUUAUUAUUAAUUAUGUAAAUUUGCCUCCCGUCUGUCUGUUGCGUUGGGUUUCUGAGGUGACCCUGGGUGUGGAGGAUGCACUGGCUCCCGAUUCUUGCCCCCCAACCCCUAUGCUGUCUGGGAGACAGUAGUCUGGGGCCACUGGUUGGGCCCCCUCCUCCCCUCCCCUCAUCCCUUCUCCAGGGCAUGGGGGAUCUGUCUGUCUCAGUCCGUCUCUGCUCCUGCUCUUGAGGCACUGGUCACCCCGAAGUGAGCGGCCAGGGUGGGGAAGAAGGUCCUGUCUCAGCCACUGCCACCUCCAGUGCUUCAGGAGGCAGGCCAGGGCCCCACCCUGGUGGCUUUCUCCCACCUGGGCCCGGAGUCCUCCCCAAGCCUCUCCCGCCCCUCCCGCCUGGCCACUGCCUGGCACUGGGAAUGCCUCACAAUGGACCUGGCCCCUCCUGUCAUUUGCUGGGAAGUCCAGCGGAGGAGUGGGUGCAGGUCCCCCGCCGAGCCUCCAGUCUCUGUGGACUGGGCUGCCGGCUCUCCAGCCCCCCUUGGAGCCCCUCCCUCCACGGCCGGCCGCACCUUCUCUCCUGGCCCCUCCCUUUGUAUUUGGAGACAAUGUGUUGUAAUAAAGCUUAAAGUGGAUGUUUUC